This 285-nucleotide long non-coding RNA is filed under the name Chrysolophus pictus (golden pheasant). RNAcentral describes it as "lncRNA (ENSCPIG00010009838.1)". The record is from RNAcentral. Lineage: Eukaryota; Metazoa; Chordata; Aves; Galliformes; Phasianidae.
GUUCUAAGACUCCUUUGCGACUGAAAUCCCACAGUUCAUCCUCAGCAAGACGUGGCCGGAGGAACCACGAGCACAGUAGAGCUGUUGCAUGCGCAUCUGACCAUGGCUUCUCUUUGGAGCUCACUGGAAAAAGAGGUGUUCAACCCACAGAACAAGAAGCUGCUGGAAGCCAUUAGUGUCUGGAAGACGGGGAAGAAGAAGAAGAUGUCCAUUCUCUGUGUAGUGGUGGAUGCCUUUAGGCCAAUGCAGCCGUUUCUGGUGAAGGUCAAGGUAGACCGAGGAGAG